RNAcentral lists this ribosomal RNA (492 nucleotides) under uncultured bacterium. RNAcentral's name for it is "partial 16S ribosomal RNA". It matches the Rfam family "Bacterial small subunit ribosomal RNA", at positions 29 to 507 of the family's 1533-position model. The record is from RNAcentral.
AGUGAACGCUGGCGGUAGGCCUAACACAUGCAAGUCGAACGGCAGCACAGUAAGAGCUUGCUCUUACUGGUGGCGAGUGGCGGACGGGUGAGGAAUACAUCGGAAUCUACUUUUUCGUGGGGGAUAACGUAGGGAAACUUACGCUAAUACCGCAUACGACCUACGGGUGAAAGCAGGGGAUCUUCGGACCUUGCGCGAUUGAAUUAGCCGAUUUCGGAUUAGCUAGUUGGCGGGGUAAAGGCCCACCAAGGCGACGAUCCGUAGCUGGUCUGAGAGGAUGAUCAGCCACACUGGAACUGAGACACGGUCCAGACUCCUACGGGAGGCAGCAGUGGGGAAUAUUGGACAAUGGGCGCAAGCCUGAUCCAGCCAUACCGCGUGGGUGAAGAAGGCCUUCGGGUUGUAAAGCCCUUUUGUUGGGAAAGAAAAGCAGCAGGUUAAUACCCCGCUGUUCUGACGGUACCCAAAGAAUAAGCACCGGCUAACUUCGUG